GACGUAGGGCGCGAGCGUUGUCCGGAUUUAUUGGGCGUAAAGAGCUCGUAGGCGGUCUGUCGCGUCGGCUGUGAAAAUCCAGGGCUCAACCCUGGACCUGCAUUCGAUACGGGCAGACUAGAGUUCGGUAGGGGAGACUGGAAUUCCUGGUGUAGCGGUGAAAUGCGCAGAUAUCAGGAGGAACACCGGUGGCGAAGGCGGGUCUCUGGGCCGAAACUGACGCUGAGGAGCGAAAGCGUGGGGAGCGAACAGG
This 253-nucleotide ribosomal RNA is filed under the name uncultured bacterium. Its description in RNAcentral is "partial 16S ribosomal RNA". It matches the Rfam family "Bacterial small subunit ribosomal RNA", at positions 524 to 776 of the family's 1533-position model. The record is from RNAcentral.